AGAAGUUUGAAUUACUGGAACCAAGAACUUAUUCUCUUUCAAGUUAUCUGCCAAGAAGCACUGAGAUCCACAAGAGAAUCCUGAAAGUGUCUGUGAAACUGGCAUAUCUAUCUAACGGGGGCAAUAUAGAACUGCACAUGAAAUGAUUGAACAGCUCUGAAAACAGCCUCAGGCACAUUGUGUUGCAGUCACCUAAUGCUGGUGAAUUGCGUACAGAGGAAGAUAUAAGCACAAAGGUGGUGUGGGUUCACUUGUCAUCAGCCUGAAUCAGACCAUCGGCCAUUCGGCAAAGGGAAGCACCUCUCUUAGAAAUUCUCAUAGCUCUGGUGGAGACUGGUGUUUAGAAGAAGAUGU
Long non-coding RNA from Numida meleagris (helmeted guineafowl), 354 nucleotides. RefSeq lists it as uncharacterized. Lineage: Eukaryota; Metazoa; Chordata; Aves; Galliformes; Numididae. The record is from RefSeq and is a predicted model, not a curated record. The transcript has 3 exons.